This 893-nucleotide long non-coding RNA is filed under the name Marmota monax (woodchuck). The record is from RNAcentral. Lineage: Eukaryota; Metazoa; Chordata; Mammalia; Rodentia; Sciuridae.
UGGAGACAGCCGAGGACCCUGCUGGAAGGGGCUCUUGGAGCGGUGGUGUGUGCCCUGAUGGCCCUGCACUUUCUGAAUCCAGAGUGAGGACUUAGGCCCAUGGCACUUUCUGGGGCAGAAGAGAGCCGUUUGUCACCGUGGUGUCAGGGAGAGCUCCAGCUGUGUGACACUGUUGAGGCCACCCAUGGAAGCCCAGAGCCCAGCCCAGGUGCAUGGCCCUGCCCACCAGCCUUCCCAGAUGCCUCAGGUUGUUCUCCCCUCAUUCCCUGGUCAGGUCCCCUUGUGGCUGUUCAUUCACUGAGCAUUUGCCUCUGGAGAGCUGGCACCAGGCUGGGAGUGCAGCGGGUACAGUGGCUGCAGCGCGAGUCACCUUGGGAGUCAUCUGCAUGCCCCACAGGCACCCAGUACAGAGCAGAAGCAGAUACACAGUGGGCUCCUGGGCAGGACAGGACCUUUAACCUUGCCACUGUGCUUCUCCUAUGGGGACAAGCAAGGCCUCGGUGCCCUUGAUGGGCUGAGAGGUGGACACCGUCAGGUUUUCCUGCAGUUGGUCUUCAUUCUUUCCCUCAUCCUUAAAAUAACUAGAUAAAUAUCCCCCAUUGUUGAGAGCCACAGCCGAAGGGGCCCCAGCAAACUUCCGGCUGCCAGCUGAUUGGCUCCUCUGCGGUGAUGCUCAUUGGGCUGUUUCCCCGCCCUUUCAGACCACGGAGCUGCUCAUUGGGGGACUUUUUUGGCUCCGCCCACACGACCCAGCCAAUCGGCCUCAAGAGCAGGAGGAGUGGGGGGUUGAGAGGCUUGUGGGAAGCCGGUGGUGGCAGUUGGGCUCUGAGGGAAUUCCUGAAGAGCUCGUGUGGUGCGGCGUGUGUGUGUGUGUGUGUGUGUGUGUGUGUGUG